UACGGGGGGGGCAAGCGUUGUUCGGAAUUACUGGGCGUAAAGGGCGCGUAGGCGGUCUUCUAAGUCUUGUGUGAAAUCCCUCGGCUCAACUGAGGAACUGCACGGGAUACUGGAAGACUUGAGUUCGGGAGAGGGAAGCGGAAUUCCGGGUGUAGCGGUGAAAUGCGUAGAUAUCCGGAGGAACACCGGUGGCGAAGGCGGCUUCCUGGACCGAUUACUGACGCUGAGGCGCGAAAGCAUGGGGAGCGAACAGG
Molecule: ribosomal RNA, 254 nt
Filed under: uncultured bacterium
Lineage: Bacteria
Description: partial 16S ribosomal RNA
Rfam family: Bacterial small subunit ribosomal RNA
Source: RNAcentral